Gadus macrocephalus (Pacific cod) is the source of this 202-nucleotide long non-coding RNA. RefSeq lists it as uncharacterized. The transcript has 2 exons. Lineage: Eukaryota; Metazoa; Chordata; Actinopteri; Gadiformes; Gadidae. The record is from RefSeq and is a predicted model, not a curated record.
CUCUGGAGGGUGGAGGCCUCCCUCUGGUCCUCAUACUGCUGCGGCGACACCUGCUGGCAGAAGGUGAACGCUGGACGGAGAACGGGGCAGAAGGAGGUUCCACAGUCAGAAGGAGAACGCUGGACGGAGAACGGGGCAGAAGGAGGUUCUACAGUCAGAAGGAGAACGCUGGACGGAGAACGGGGCAGAAGGAGGUUCUACA